GGUACCUUUCCAUGAGCUCACCUCUGUUCCACUCCCAUCUCAUAAAGGGUGUGACAGAUACUUCACAGAAGGCAAGGAGAAAACAGGUCAGAAGUAUGUUAUUGGGGGCUUAGCACUGAUUUUGGUUCUGACAAGCUGGCCACUCAGAGACAGCAGUAGCUAUGUCUGUCUCAGUAUGUGGUAGACCAUGCUGUUGGGCCCAUAUAUAUAUAGCCUCCAUGCCUGCCACUGGGGCUACUUCAUUCACGUACCCACUGUGUCAGUUCUGGGAUGACUAAAAUCAACUGGGCACCAUCCACCCUCCCCAUGCAUUUUAAAUGCCUGCAUCAUCAUAUUUGCUACAGCAUUUUACUUCACCAGGAUAUUUUUCCAGGUCAUCAUGAGUGAAGUCUUGAGCCACUGAGCCACUACCACCUUGUGCCAAAUACUAUCUGUGCCCUGCCUGCCAACCAGGAUGACAACCCUUCACCUGCCAGGUGGAGAGAGACAGCAGCAGGCUAACUAGUUGUCUGUUAAGAACAUCCAGAGCAGGACCAGAAUCUGGGCCAGGAACUGAGAGACAGAUUGGGACAACGGAACAAAUCUACCAGGAAAAUAGCUGCUGCCCCACUCCUGUGCCAAAAUCUGCUCCAAGGGAUCCUAUCCUAGUCAGAAGGCUGUACUCUGAAUGCUGAUAUUAGCUACAACACCAAGGCUUCCCACUAUACAAACUGGAUCCUCAAAGUCAUCCACACCAAAUGAACUCUCUAUUCUUUCUCCCAGUAGCCUGAGAACUGGGUUUACCAGCCUUGGCCCUUCCUUUCCUUCUAGCCUCAAAACAGGAUGGGAACAGAGUCUUUGGCUGUGAGAAUGGGCUCAAUAACAAAAUAAAGAUGACAGAAGAGUCAGUGACUUCAAUGACAGAGCGAUAGAAAUUACCAAUAUAAACGGAGAGAAAAGAGAUUUUUUAAAAAUGAACAAAUCCCCAAGGACCUGUGAGACAAUAACUGUGUUAGGUUUUCUAAACUUACAAGUGUUUUUAUUUAUAUAUGGUAAGCAACUAUGCAUUAUUUGUGUCAGAAUUAUUUUUUGUAUAUAUUUAAGGUAUACAACAUGAUGUCUCAACAUACUUAUAUGUAGUGAAAUGGUUACUACAGUCACCACACUUAUUGUCUCACAGGUUAUUGUCUUCAGAAGGAGAGUAAAAAGAAUGCUGGGUAGAAGAAAUACCUGAAGAAAUAAUGGCCCAACCUCAAAUUUGGUGAAAGACAUAAACUUACAGAUUCAAGAAACUGAGUGUUCCCCAAACAGAAUAAACUUUAAAGAAUCCACACUCAAACACAUCAUAAUCAAACUUCUGAAAACUAACAACAAAGAAAAACUUAAAAUCAGCAAGAGAGAAACCACACAUUAUCAACUGAUGAAAAGUGACUCAAGUGACAGCAGAUUUAUAAUCAGAAACUUGAAGGACAGAAGGAAGAGGCAAAACAUUUUGAAAGCCCUAAAAGGAAAGAACUGUCAACCCAGAAUUCGACAUCCAGUAAAAAUAUCCGUCAAGAAUGAAUAUGAAGGAAAGCUAAGAAUGAAUAUAUCUUCUAUUUCUUUGCUAAAUUUUUCUACUUUUUCAUUUGAUGUAAGAGUGUUUAUAAGUGCUUAUGGAGCAUUUUUAUGAUAGUUGGUUUACAAUCCUUGUCUGAGAGUAGCUAUGUGAGAUGACGUAUAUAGUAAAUGGUGACUGUAGUAACCAUUUCACUACAUAUAAGUAUGUCAAAACAUGUUGUACACCUUAAAUAUACACAAAAAAUAGCUCUGACACAAAAAAUGCAUAGUUGUUAUUACCAUGUAUAAAUAAAAAUACUUGUAAGUUUAGAAAAUAAAAUCAUUGUCUGAUAAUUAUCUAAAUAAUAAAGUCCA
This 1893-nucleotide long non-coding RNA is filed under the name Homo sapiens (human). RNAcentral describes it as "HSALNT0044954". The record is from RNAcentral. Lineage: Eukaryota; Metazoa; Chordata; Mammalia; Primates; Hominidae.